RNAcentral lists this ribosomal RNA (484 nucleotides) under uncultured bacterium. Its description in RNAcentral is "partial 16S ribosomal RNA". It matches the Rfam family "Bacterial small subunit ribosomal RNA", at positions 29 to 507 of the family's 1533-position model. The record is from RNAcentral.
AUUGAACGCUGGCGGCAUGCUUUACACAUGCAAGUCGAACGGCAGCGCGGGCUUCGGCCUGGCGGCGAGUGGCGAACGGGUGAGUAAUACAUCGGAACGUGUCCAGUAGUGGGGGAUAGCUCGGCGAAAGCCGGAUUAAUACCGCAUACGACCUGAGGGUGAAAGCGGGGGAUCUUCGGACCUCGCGCUAUUGGAGCGGCCGAUGGCAGAUUAGCUAGUUGGUGGGGUAAAGGCCUACCAAGGCGACGAUCUGUAGCUGGUCUGAGAGGACGACCAGCCACACUGGGACUGAGACACGGCCCAGACUCCUACGGGAGGCAGCAGUGGGGAAUUUUGGACAAUGGGCGAAAGCCUGAUCCAGCAAUGCCGCGUGUGUGAUGAGGGCCUUCGGGUUGUAAAGCACUUUUGGCGGGAACGAAAAGGACUGUGCCAAUACCACGGUUCGAUGACGGUACCCGCAGAAUAAGCACCGGCUAACUACGUG